AGGCUCACUGACUUGGUUGAUGCAUGUCAACGUAUCCCAAUGGCAAACACCGGUACACUAAUCCGCCAGGUGGCGCGUCGGAAUUUCCGUCCCGGAAGUGUUGCUAAUGUAAACAUGUCGCACUACAGCGGUUUGACAGUUGAGAAGCUGAAGACAGAGUUGCGAUGCAGUGGAGCAACUACACGCGGGAAGAAGAUCGAUUUGAUUGAAAGAUUACAGAUGACCAGGCUGCAGACUUAGAGUCAAAGACAAGAAAGCAGGCCAAGUGUAGCUUGUGGCAUGAAGAGAGGAGAUGGAGGUUGACAGCAUCUCAGUUUGGGACAAUUUGCAAAUGUACUACAAGGAGAAACAAAACUAAAUUAUGUGAACAAAUUGUCUCUGGAAGAAAACUAGUUUGUAACUCUGUGAGGCAUGGGUUACAGCAGGAACCCAAAGCUAUUGCCAAACUUGAGAUAGCCUGUAAUGUUCAUGUUCACAGUUGUGGAAUGUUUGUUGACUCUGAACUCCCUUUCCUUGCAGCAACCCCAGACGGUGUCAUUGAUUCUAACACCAUUGUUGAGGUUAAAUGUCCUUACAGUGCUAGAAAUGAGGUCAUUGCUCCUGGGAAACUCUUUCCUUAUCUUUGUGAGAGAAAUGGCCUCAUGCAACUGAAAGAAAACUGUCAUUACUACUUUCAGGUGCAGGGUCAGAUGUAUCUAUCAAAGCGAAAAUACUGCUUAUUUGCUGUUUGUACGUUCAAAGACUUCUUUGUUCAGAAAAUAUCACUCGAUGAGGAAUACUGUACAGGAAGUUUGAUUCCCAGACUCUCAUUAUUCUUUGAGUCUUUCAUUGCUACUCACUACAUUUGUUAAGAUUCACGAACAGACAUCCUUUUGUGGAUUAAUACAUCCAUGUGAAGACUGUGUAUCUAAAAAGUACUAAGAGUCUUAUCCAACUUACUUUUGCCUCGCUUUUCAAAAAUUAUUUGACAUCAGUGACUUUUCACAGUUAAGGAAUAAAAGUUUGUUCUUUUCAACUAUUGAAAUCUGGUGAUGAGAAUGAUACAAAUGAGUACCGGUAGGUAUAUCCCUGAUUGACACCAUGUGUAAAGUACUUACUUCUAUUCUUAGCUGUAGGCCUAAUGGAAAAACUGUAGGCCCAAACAUGUUAUCUGAAGCAGUGAGAUAUACUCAUAUACGCAUAUACGCAAUAUAAAAUUACAAAAUACAACCAGUCAUCCAGAAGCUAUUACUGCUAUCACACCGAGUUCCCAGAGACUCAGUGGUGACAGAUGGUGAUACAUUUAUCAAGGAAAUUAUCAGCUUGUAAAACAUCUUUGAACAAAUCUGUCAUCUAUGGGUAUACUGACCGAUGUAUAUUUCGAACACUGACCUUGGGAAUGUGGUGGAGCUCCUUUGCAAUGAAAUUACAUGACUGAAUGUCUGUCUGACAACCGUGUGAUGGUGUUGUACUAUUGCAUUCAUUGUUAAAGUGGUAAGAGAGAGAGAUCCUAAGCACAGAUCAACAAACAAAUGUGAGACAUUCAAUGGUAUUUUUUCAUUAUGUAAUAUCAUGGGUACAGUGUUAUGUACAUAUAUUCAUCAUUUCAAUUGUUAAAACACAAUAAAGUUGUUAUAUUUGAACAUUU
Molecule: long non-coding RNA, 1627 nt
Filed under: Haliotis rufescens (red abalone)
Lineage: Eukaryota; Metazoa; Mollusca; Gastropoda; Lepetellida; Haliotidae
Description: uncharacterized LOC124131853
Source: RNAcentral